GAGAGGAGCUUGCUCUUCUUGGAUGAGUUGCGAACGGGUGAGUAACGCGUAGGUAACCUGCCUUGUAGCGGGGGAUAACUAUUGGAAACGAUAGCUAAUACCGCAUAACAAUGGAUGACACAUGUCAUUUAUUUGAAAGGGGCAAUUGCUCCACUACAAGAUGGACCUGCGUUGUAUUAGCUAGUAGGUGAGGUAACGGCUCACCUAGGCGACGAUACAUAGCCGACCUGAGAGGGUGAUCGGCCACACUGGGACUGAGACACGGCCCAGACUCCUACGGGAGGCAGCAGUAGGGAAUCUUCGGCAAUGGGGGCAACCCUGACCGAGCAACGCCGCGUGAGUGAAGAAGGU
RNAcentral lists this ribosomal RNA (351 nucleotides) under Streptococcus salivarius. RNAcentral describes it as "bacterial SSU rRNA". It matches the Rfam family "Bacterial small subunit ribosomal RNA", at positions 71 to 415 of the family's 1533-position model. The record is from RNAcentral. Lineage: Bacteria; Bacillati; Bacillota; Bacilli; Lactobacillales; Streptococcaceae.